Raphanus sativus (radish) is the source of this 497-nucleotide long non-coding RNA. RefSeq lists it as uncharacterized. Lineage: Eukaryota; Viridiplantae; Streptophyta; Magnoliopsida; Brassicales; Brassicaceae. The record is from RefSeq and is a predicted model, not a curated record. The transcript has 3 exons.
UUCCAAAUUGUUCAUACUUUAUUUUUUUUGUAACUUGGGCUUUCAAUACACAAUUUCUUUUUCUAGGAAGAAUCCUCUCGAUCGACAUCGACUCCUCGAGUAUUUGCAAAUCCGGCAAAAUCGAUUACGAUCUUAGAUUAGUUGAUUCCGCCUGAAACACGAUGCGAUUGAUUGGGUUUCUCACUCAUCCUCGCCGUCUCUGUAUCGGUUAAUUAGGGUUUUGUAAAGAUGACAGUAUCGCUUGGAAGAAGAAACUCCACCUGCCAGAGUUGCUGCUUUUACAUUCCUGGAAGCUUAUUACUCUGCGUGAAACCAUCAUCGCCAAGGUAAAAUGCUCUGUCUAUGAAACAAAAAUGCAAGUUUGUUUUUUGUUUUUUUUUUCAAAGGAGGUCAAAGACAAAAUACAUUAGAUCAGUUAUAAUCGAUGACAUCGCAUUUUUGAAAUCCAAAGAGAUCAUUGGCAAGCACUAACCUAAUAGUGUUCUGUCCUAUUAUUA